Molecule: unclassified non-coding RNA, 236 nt
Filed under: Hevea brasiliensis (rubber tree)
Lineage: Eukaryota; Viridiplantae; Streptophyta; Magnoliopsida; Malpighiales; Euphorbiaceae
Source: RNAcentral
GACCUAGCAGAGGAGUAUAUGGUAGAAAUGUCAAACCACAUAAGAGUUGGCAUCUUCAAUGGACAGCAAAUGAUGGGAUGAUAUCUUGACACUAAGCAGUGGGCAGAACAGCAUGUUAAAAGAAAACUGAAAGAAAUGUCUAUAGAAUGGUCAGUGGAAGAAGGAAGCAAGCUUAUUUUCACUGUAAUUUUGCGAUCGUUGUUUUGCGGUGUUUGCAGAUUGCAAAUUAGGAAUCU